RNAcentral lists this ribosomal RNA (1239 nucleotides) under Escherichia coli. RNAcentral's name for it is "partial 23S ribosomal RNA". It matches the Rfam family "Bacterial large subunit ribosomal RNA", at positions 1 to 1268 of the family's 2925-position model. Lineage: Bacteria; Pseudomonadati; Pseudomonadota; Gammaproteobacteria; Enterobacterales; Enterobacteriaceae. The record is from RNAcentral.
GGGUUGUGAGGUUAAGCGACUAAGCGUACACGGUGGAUGCCCUGGCAGUCAGAGGCGAUGAAGGACGUGCUAAUCUGCGAUAAGCGUCGGUAAGGUGAUAUGAACCGUUAUAACCGGCGAUUUCCGAAUGGGGAAACCCAGUGUGUUUCGACACACUAUCAUUAACUGAAUCCAUAGGUUAAUGAGGCGAACCGGGGGAACUGAAACAUCUAAGUACCCCGAGGAAAAGAAAUCAACCGAGAUUCCCCCAGUAGCGGCGAGCGAACGGGGAGCAGCCCAGAGCCUGAAUCAGUGUGUGUGUUAGUGGAAGCGUCUGGAAAGGCGCGCGAUACAGGGUGACAGCCCCGUACACAAAAAUACACAUACUGUGAGCUCGAUGAGUAGGGCGGGACACGUGGUAUCCUGUCUGAAUAUGGGGGGACCAUCCUCCAAGGCUAAAUACUCCUGACUGACCGAUAGUGAACCAGUACCGUGAGGGAAAGGCGAAAAGAACCCCGGCGAGGGGAGUGAAAAAGAACCUGAAACCGUGUACGUACAAGCAGUGGGAGCACAGAGCAAUCUGUGUGACUGCGUACCUUUUGUAUAAUGGGUCAGCGACUUAUAUUCUGUAGCAAGGUUAACCGAAUAGGGGAGCCGAAGGGAAACCGAGUCUUAACUGGGCGUUAAGUUGCAGGGUAUAGACCCGAAACCCGGUGAUCUAGCCAUGGGCAGGUUGAAGGUUGGGUAACACUAACUGGAGGACCGAACCGACUAAUGUUGAAAAAUUAGCGGAUGACUUGUGGCUGGGGGUGAAAGGCCAAUCAAACCGGGAGAUAGCUGGUUCUCCCCGAAAGCUAUUUAGGUAGCGCCUCGUGAAUUCAUCUCCGGGGGUAGAGCACUGUUUCGGCAAGGGGGUCAUCCCGACUUACCAACCCGAUGCAAACUACGAAUACCGGAGAAUGUUAUCACGGGAGACACACGGCGGGUGCUAACGUCCGUCGUGAAGAGGGAAACAACCCAGACCGCCAGCUAAGGUCCCAAAGUCAUGGUUAAGUGGGAAACGAUGUGGGAAGGCCCAGACAGCCAGGAUGUUGGCUUAGAAGCAGCCAUCAUUUAAAGAAAGCGUAAUAGCUCACUGGUCGAGUCGGCCUGCGCGGAAGAUGUAACGGGGCUAAACCAUGCACCGAAGCUGCGGCAGCGACGCUUAUGCGUUGUUGGGUAGGGGAGCGUUCUGUAAGCCUGCGAAGGUGUGCUGUGAGG